AAUGGAGUAAACUCUGAUGCAGCAACGCCGCGUGGAGGACGAAGGUUUUCGGAUUGUAAACUCCUGUCUUUUGGGACGAUAAUGACGGUACCAAAAGAGGAAGCCACGGCUAACUACGUGCCAGCAGCCGCGGUAAUACGUAGGUGGCGAGCGUUGUCCGGAAUUACUGGGCGUAAAGGGAGCGUAGGCGGAUAUUUAGGUCAGAUGUGAAAUACCCGAGCUUAACUUGGGUGCUGCAUUUGAAACUGGAUAUCUGGAGUGCAGGAGAGGAAAGUGGAAUUCCUAGUGUAGCGGUGAAAUGCGUAGAGAUUAGGAAGAACACCAGUGGCGAAGGCGACUUUCUGGACUGUAACUGACGCUGAGGCUCGAAAGCGUGGGGAGCAAA
RNAcentral lists this ribosomal RNA (385 nucleotides) under uncultured bacterium. Its description in RNAcentral is "bacterial SSU rRNA". It matches the Rfam family "Bacterial small subunit ribosomal RNA", at positions 370 to 772 of the family's 1533-position model. The record is from RNAcentral.